RNAcentral lists this ribosomal RNA (452 nucleotides) under uncultured bacterium. RNAcentral describes it as "partial 16S ribosomal RNA". It matches the Rfam family "Bacterial small subunit ribosomal RNA", at positions 28 to 507 of the family's 1533-position model. The record is from RNAcentral.
GAUGAACGCUGGCGGCGUGCCUAACACAUGCAAGUCGAGCGAUUUACUUCGGUAAAGAGCGGCGGACGGGUGAGUAACGCGUGGGUAACCUGCCCUGUACACACGGAUAACAUACCGAAAGGUAUGCUAAUACGAGAUAAUAUGCUUUUAUCGCAUGGUAGAAGUAUCAAAGCUUUUGCGGUACAGGAUGGACCCGCGUCUGAUUAGCUAGUUGGUGAGGUAACGGCUCACCAAGGCGACGAUCAGUAGCCGACCUGAGAGGGGGAUCGGCCACAUUGGAACUGAGACACGGUCCAAACUCCUACGGGAGGCAGCAGUGGGGAAUAUUGCACAAUGGGCGAAAGCCUGAUGCAGCAACGCCGCGUGAGCGAUGAAGGCCUUCGGGUCGUAAAGCUCUGUCCUCAAGGAAGAUAAUGACGGUACUUGAGGAGGAAGCCCCGGCUAACUACGUG